AGUGAACGCUGGCGGUAGGCCUAACACAUGCAAGUCGAACGGCAGCACAGUAAGAGCUUGCUCUUACGGGUGGCGAGUGGCGGACGGGUGAGGAAUACAUCGGAAUCUACUUUUUCGUGGGGGAUAACGUAGGGAAACUUACGCUAAUACCGCAUACGACCUACGGGUGAAAGCAGGGGAUCUUCGGACCUUGCGCGAUUGAAUGAGCCGAUGUCGGAUUAGCUAGUUGGCGGGGUAAAGGCCCACCAAGGCGACGAUCCGUAGCUGGUCUGAGAGGAUGAUCAGCCACACUGGAACUGAGACACGGUCCUGACUCCUACGGGAGGCAGCAGUGGGGAAUAUUGGACAAUGGGCGCAAGCCUGAUCCAGCUAUACCGCGUGGGUGAAGAAGGCCUUCGGGUUGUAAAGCCCUUUUGUUGGGAAAGAAAAGCAGCAGGUUAAUACCCCGCUGUUCUGACGGUACCCAAAGAAUAAGCACCGGCUAACUUCGUG
This 492-nucleotide ribosomal RNA is filed under the name uncultured bacterium. RNAcentral describes it as "partial 16S ribosomal RNA". It matches the Rfam family "Bacterial small subunit ribosomal RNA", at positions 29 to 507 of the family's 1533-position model. The record is from RNAcentral.